CCUACGGGAGGCAGCAGUAGGGAAUCUUUCACAAUGGGCGAAAGCCUGAUGGAGCAACGCCGCGUGCAGGAUGAAGGCCUUCGGGUUGUAAACUGCUUUUAUAAGCGAGAAAUAUGAUGGUAACUUAUGAAUAAGGAUCGGCUAACUACGUGCCAGCAGCCGCGGUCAUACGUAGGAUCCGAGCAUUAUCCGGAGUGACUGGGUGUAAAGAGUUGCGUAGGUGGCAUAAUAAGUAGCUAGUGAAAUCUGGUGGCUCAACCAUUCAGACUAUUAGCUAAACUGUUAAGCUCGAGACCGUUAGGGGUAACUGGAAUUUCUAGUGUAGGAGUGAAAUCCGUAGAUAUUAGAAGGAACACCAAUAGCGUAGGCAGGUUGCUGGGACGGUUCUGACACUAAGGCACGAAAGCGUAGGGAGCAAACGGGAUUAGAUACCCCUGUAGUA
This 442-nucleotide ribosomal RNA is filed under the name uncultured bacterium. RNAcentral's name for it is "partial 16S ribosomal RNA". It matches the Rfam family "Bacterial small subunit ribosomal RNA", at positions 338 to 795 of the family's 1533-position model. The record is from RNAcentral.